This 3994-nucleotide ribosomal RNA is filed under the name Triticum aestivum (bread wheat). Its description in RNAcentral is "partial small subunit ribosomal RNA". Lineage: Eukaryota; Viridiplantae; Streptophyta; Magnoliopsida; Poales; Poaceae. The record is from RNAcentral.
GAGGAGGAGGGCGCCCUGUUCUGCGUCUUAGCCUCGUUCGCGGCUCCUCGCGGCCGAUCCUGCGGCACGAGGCUACCCAACCCGCACAACGCUCGGAGUGGCACCGGUUCAUGGUGUACGAGGUCUCACCUACCAGCUACGGGAGGGGUGGACCGGUGGAGUGCGCACUGACCAUAAAGCAGUAGGGCGGAGACGAGCUAAGCCGAGGCAGGCUACCGCCACGAACGCGGAACUGCGGCGCGGAGCGUGCUACCGGCGGUCUUCGGAUACGGAACCGGCGAAAUCGAUAACACGCAUUCGCACUAGAUUAUUAGUCUUUACAAAACUACAUUAGGUAACGAGUACGUUAAGAUAUCAGACACCUUUGACGAGAAAAUGUGACCAUGUUAACGUCAGAAUUCAACCUUGAAUAAACAUCAAAUAAGUCACUGAUGUAUUAUAGAGAUAUAUUACGGUAUGGUUAUUCCGUAUAAACUAAUCAGAACGAACCAGACUUGUAAGAAUUUACAUUAAGUCCUACGAGAUCGAUUAGAAAAAAGAGUAAAGACUGUUCUACGUAAUAACAAAUAGACUUGUCGUCAAAGCACCGUACUUUUUCUUGUAUAUAUAUUGUUACGUAAGGUACCCCGACGUCAUGACCUUUUAAAGGACUAGCAACUCCGUUGGUUGUACCUAAACGUAUCGAAGACAUUGAGUUUACUUACGAUACAUUUAUUAUAAAAAAAGCAGAUUGAUAAUAGUUUUACGUACGUCAAAAUCGAGACUGUCUUAGUUCAGUUAGUUGAUACCCUGUCCAUGUCAUACGUCAAUACAAGAUCACAAAAUCGAUGUCACGUCCAUGUAGAAGGAACGAAUCAGAUUAACACUAACAGUUUACAAGGAACAAACGAUCUAAAAACACAUGUGAAGAACACGUAUACACUUCCCUUCGUUCGAACCUAAGUGACCUACUACAUAUGUGUGGUUCACGUGGAGCGAAAGUAUUAUCGUUCGUUGGAGUAUAACUCCAUGCAAGAGAAGCGAACGUCGGAAAAAUUCUCAAACAAAAAAGGUCAAUCAGAGAAGACUACCGCUACAGAGUCUUUUAGCGAAAGAGGCCACCAACUAUUAAAAUCGAGAUAUACGAACACAACGUUUGUCGUGUUCGUUGACCCGUUGGUAAACAAAGUAUUUGAGUUUGGUAACUUGAAUUUUUGUAGUGGAAGGCGUCGACCACACAUAGCAUCAACUCACUGUCGUCUAACGGGUCACCCGAAGAGGCGUCACACUUUUAGACAGUCUUUCUUAACUAGUAUCUAUACUAAUAUGAACACUGACGAUGUAGUAUUUCUUGUCUUUUUUACCUGUAUGGUCCACUAUACCGGUGCCCACAGAAUCUACCUCACGCGAAAGUUAAAUCUUUCCUCUACAUCGAAACAAUAAUAGGAAACGGAGCACAGAAGAAAAAUUAUAGAGCACAGAAGAAAUUAAGAAAACCUAGACGAAAAACUGGACAGAGGUUCUUUUAGAAGUCCUAGAUAUUCCAGGUUCAUCCAUUCUCAACCACUAUAUAAAUAAAUGGGACCCAUUUAUCGUUUAGUUCAUUUAUUCUUUCAGAACAUGUCGAGUAAAACCUUUAAACUCUUUACUAGUUCUCCACUUCAGGUGAAACUAAAAAUGGAACACGUCUGAAUCCAAACAACAUCCAGGAACAUCAGUACCAAAAGAAAUUUUUUUUAGUAUGUAGUAGCUUGGUACGACUUGAGUGCACAUGUCUCAUACGACAGUAGUAGAAUGUAUCGUAGAAGAUAUUUAGUAUGUGUUUUAAAGCCUUAGACUUGAUGUGUUGAAACUUUGUUUGACUUUUCAAUAGUCGUAGACGUGAUUUGUAACCAUUCAAUCGAAAUCCUCUUUGUAUGAGUUUCUUAUAGACUCAGCCGGCAAUAAGUAGAACUGUCAUUCCGUGCUAUCAGUAAUUUAAGCAUAAUGCUAAGAAGCACGGUUGUGAUGUUGGAUGUUGUCAUUUAGUAUAUAUAUUGAUACAGGCUUUGAACUGUAGUAUGUUACACCUUCUUCCUUAAUUUAACGGUUUUUAUAUAUGUAUGGAAUGAGAAAUUGACGCAAAUGAGCUAACGACUCAGACUACUUAACGAUGUAUUUAUCGGGUUUACUAACGGACCGGUAUACAUUACAACCAUUUGUAUGUUACAUUCAUGGUCUUAAGCUAGUCUUAUUUUGAAGCCGUUUGGUUGUAAAUCAAUAAAUUUGUUUUCAAGUGGAAUAACUCAUGUCUUCACCGUGAACCUAAUUCGUAAACUUUUUGUAAUUACGUACCAUGGGUUAUGGUUAACCGUCCGGUUGUAUAUUCUUGUUUAAAACGAAUUAACAUAAAGUCUAUAUAUCUCUUCGUACAUGACUAAAAAUAAACGUGUUUUACUAAUCAGCAUCUAACAGUAUCUCUAAAACAUCAGUAAAGUAAGUUUACCGAAUUUUGAUUGUAUUUUUACACCGUUAGGUAACCGUGUUUAACUGAAGUAUGUCAUGAGAGUUCAGAUGUUAUGUUAUGGUUAACCGUUCGGUUGUAAGUCUCUUCGUAGAUGACUUGAAUCCAACAUCUUUAAGUCUCUUCGUACAAGACCUAAAUCGUUCAUCUUUAAGUCUCUUCGUACUCACCUCCUCGGCUAAGAUGGCAAAGCACAUACGACAGAUGGAAAAGGAUAAUAGUCAACCCUACGGUGAAAAAGACAGAAGGUACGAGUCCCAGAAAACUAUAUCUUGAACAACUGAUAGACUGAAGGUACGAUGUUUUCUAUCCGUAGAGGAUUUAAUACAAACGAUUAAGAAAGUAAAUCGGUUCAACCUACAGUUAGGAGGGUUAAUACACGAAUAUAUUAUUGUCUUGUAUAAUCUCUUAUCUCUAUACAAGUCACUGUACGUAAGACAAAGUACGUUUCGUGUAUUUGAGAUAUAAUAUCCGGUAACGUAAAACAAAUGAGCCAUAUAAUUCUUUAUCCUCAUGUUAACAUCAGUACAAAAAAUACAAUGAGAAACAUAAAUACUUAAAACUGGGUUUAGACGGUGCUCCACUUGAAACUGACUACAGGUAGUAAAACCAGUUAUAAUAAAACAACAGAGUUCGCGUCUAAGAAGAUUAAUGCCAUGAGGAUUAUUAACUUAUACACCCCUCUCAGUCACAAGGUACUUUGGUCUAACGAAAGGAACGAUGUUUCAUACUCGGUGGAUCCAAACAAAGGGCAGUCGAUUGAAGGAUGUGGUUCGGCCGCCGAACUACAACUCCAUUUCAGAAUUUCUUUUAAGACUAGCUUCAAACAUGGACUAGUUUCAAACGACCGAACCACCGCUCCCGCAGUUGUACCGCUGCCGCCGUCGGGCGCGAGCGUAGGCAACCAGUCGUCUCCUCUCGUCGUCCGCCGGUGCCGCGGGGCGCGAGUACAGGCACCCGGUCGUCUCCACUUCGGCUGCCACCGCGGCCUCUGAGAGCGAGCGUAGGUACCCCGUCACAUCCUCUCCGUUCACCGCUGCCGCCAGACACGAGCGCAGUAACCCCGUCAUCUCCUCGCCUGCCGCCGCUGACUCAGGGCACAAACGCAGAAACCCCAUCGUCUUCUCCUCGCCUGUUCCCUGUUGCCGUCGCAGCUAGGCGCGAGUGCAGGUAUCCCGUCGUGUGUUGUCUCCUCCUCGCCGCCCGCCACCGCCGCUAGACGCGUGCGCAGACACCCCAUCGUCUCUCCGCUGCACAACACUCCCGUCUCUCUUUUAAUGCCCUAUCUUUGGGGGAUAGGGGCAAUUAACUCCUGGUUGGCCACGCAGCCCGUCAGACGAACCGUCUUGUAAAUUAGACCCUGCAAGUACACGCAUCGUCUGGGAACUACAUUAUACCUGACAAUCUACGAUAAAUCAACCUAACUAGAUUGCGGAGACUAUUAGGACACAUGUGAAACACCACACAGAGAUCCCCUUAAGUACAAACGAGAAAAUUAUCAUCAUAUCUAAU